UACGUAGGGUGCAAGCGUUGUCCGGAAUUAUUGGGCGUAAAGAGCUCGUAGGCGGUCUGUCGCGUCGGCUGUGAAAACUUGGGGCUCAACUCCGAGCUUGCAGUCGAUACGGGCAGGCUAGAGUUCGGCAGGGGAGACUGGAAUUCCUGGUGUAGCGGUGAAAUGCGCAGAUAUCAGGAGGAACACCGGUGGCGAAGGCGGGUCUCUGGGCCGAUACUGACGCUGAGGAGCGACAGCGUGGGGAGCAAACAGG
RNAcentral lists this ribosomal RNA (253 nucleotides) under uncultured bacterium. RNAcentral describes it as "partial 16S ribosomal RNA". It matches the Rfam family "Bacterial small subunit ribosomal RNA", at positions 524 to 776 of the family's 1533-position model. The record is from RNAcentral.